RNAcentral lists this long non-coding RNA (634 nucleotides) under Physcomitrium patens. RNAcentral's name for it is "long non-coding RNA (PPAT_LNC002355)". Lineage: Eukaryota; Viridiplantae; Streptophyta; Bryopsida; Funariales; Funariaceae. The record is from RNAcentral.
UAGUCUUAACCAUACUUAAAUCCCAAUUACCUUAUUACUUUCAUAUUUAAGUAAUUUAGAUUUUUCUUAUAAGCCCCAAUCCUAAUCAAUGAGCUUUAACAAGCUAUAACAUCCAAUCCGAUUGUCCACUUGAUAUAGAAUUUUGCAUGCAAUUUUCAAUGGAAGACUUCUAUACGCUCAAGAAUUUUUAGCUCAAUCCAACUUACAAAUUGUGAGAAAACCUCUAAAAAUUGCACUAAUAUCACUCGGCCGCCAGCUUGAAAAAUAAAAUAGAAAUCUCAAUAAUGAUUCCUCCCUUUUCAACUAUUAACUUUGUCUCAAAAUUAGUAUAUAGCUUGAUCUUUAAGUCCUACAACACCAUGCUAAUUUUUACCUUAAUCUGACAAAUAGAUCUUCAGAUAUCAUAGAAAUCCUAUCCAACUUCAAACUGCCACCUUUCAAAAUCUUCUUGUGCUAAAAAUUAGAUAUCUCUAAACCAUGCCAUUAGAUUAUAACAAAAUUUUUUAUACACUCAGCACAUCCAAUAAUCCAAAAAACAUCAAAUUUUCAAUUGUAGAUAUUAUACCAGUUGUAUGAAUUAGCCAACAUUGCUAGCCCUAAUUAUAUUAUAUAAAACCCAAAUCACUGAUACAAA